RNAcentral lists this ribosomal RNA (497 nucleotides) under uncultured bacterium. Its description in RNAcentral is "partial 16S ribosomal RNA". It matches the Rfam family "Bacterial small subunit ribosomal RNA", at positions 28 to 507 of the family's 1533-position model. The record is from RNAcentral.
GAUGAACGCUGGCGGCGUGCCUAAUACAUGCAAGUCGAGCGAACAGACGAGGAGCUUGCUCCUCUGACGUUAGCGGCGGACGGGUGAGUAACACGUGGAUAACCUACCUAUAAUACUGGGAUAACUUCGGGAAACCGGAGCUAAUACCGGAUAAUAUAUUGAACCGCAUGGUUCAAUAGUUAAAGACGGUUUUGCUGUCACUUAUAGAUGGAUCCGCGCCGCAUUAGCUAGUUGGUAAGGUAACGGCUUACCAAGGCGACGAUGCGUAGCCGACCUGAGAGGGUGAUCGGCCACACUGGAACUGAGACACGGACCAGACGCCUACGGGAGGCAGCAGUAGGGAAUCGUCCGCAAUGGGCGAAAGCCUGACGGAGCAACGCCGCGUGAGUGAUGAAGGUCUUCGGAUCGUAAAACUCUGUUAUUAGGGAAGAACAAAUGUGUAAGUAACUAUGCACGUAUUGACGGUACCUAAUCAGAAAGCCACGGCUAGCUACGUG